AUCCACCCAAGACCCGGUUCCUCGAUUCCCAUCGUUACGACCGAGGAGAAAAGAGAGUAAAUUUUCCUAUUAUAGCCUUCUCUCGCACCUUCCCCGCUUCCCACCAGCCGUCUCCACUGUCCUCACCGUCCCCAUCCUCAUCCAUGGCGAAAUCUUCGCCCCCAGCCUCGUGAAGAUCUAGCACGUCCGCCAUCUCGCCUUCGAUCGAGAUCUCGUCUGUGCCGCUCAGACACUAGGUACCUCGGGAAACUGUCGCAGAGGGGAAAGGUCGCCAGUCAAGCUGACCAAUCAAAGGUUAACUCUAAAUCCCUCCCUCUGCACGGUAAAAACACGCAAAUUGGGGCGGGCCUAGUGAGGAAAGAUACCGGAAGUGUUUCUGUGGCCAUCUUGAGCAGGUCGCAAGCUAAAUCCUGCCAUCUUAGGAGGUACAGACUACAGGGGGCCGUGGCUUCCUCUUAACCGCGGCAGCUGCUGAUAAACACUGUACUAUUAACAGUGAGGCCCGGCGUAAUUUCCUUAUUAGAGGGCUUCUUUACGUCUCUUCAUCCCAAACUGGGAAAUGCUUGCUGGCCUGCUCUAUAGUGCUGUUGCUUAAAAAGUCAUCUGUGAAGAAAACCAGAGGGAGAAAUUUCACCUGCCAAAGUGGAUAAAGAGUUCAGAUCUGCCAAGAAGACACCAAGAUGGGAUAGACAAUUGCAAGAGAUUUAUCAGGGAGGAAGUAGGAGACGACAGGGAGAGCCUUCUGAGCACAGCAAAGAUCUCAUGCCUGUGGAAGAGAGGGAAAGAAGGAGGUCUAGAUAU
This 801-nucleotide non-coding RNA is filed under the name Pan troglodytes (chimpanzee). Lineage: Eukaryota; Metazoa; Chordata; Mammalia; Primates; Hominidae. The record is from RNAcentral.